AACGGAUCUCUUGGCUCUCGCAUCGAUGAAGAACGCAGCGAAUUGCGAUAAGUAAUGUGAAUUGCAGAUUUUCAGUGAAUCAUCGAAUCUUUGAACGCACCUUGCGCUCCUUGGUAUUCCGAGGAGCAUGCCUGUUUGAGUGUCAU
RNAcentral lists this ribosomal RNA (146 nucleotides) under uncultured Xerocomus. RNAcentral describes it as "5.8S ribosomal RNA". It matches the Rfam family "5.8S ribosomal RNA". Rfam says of the family: 5.8S ribosomal RNA (5.8S rRNA) is a component of the large subunit of the eukaryotic ribosome. It is transcribed by RNA polymerase I as part of the 45S precursor that also contains 18S and 28S rRNA. Functionally, it is thought that 5.8S rRNA may be involved in ribosome translocation. The record is from RNAcentral. Lineage: Eukaryota; Fungi; Basidiomycota; Agaricomycetes; Boletales; Boletaceae.